GGGGAGCGGCGGACGGGUGAGUAACGCGUGGGAAUCUGCCCUUUGGUGUGGGACAACCACGGGAAACUGUGGCUAAUACCGCAUGAGCCCGAGAGGGGAAAGCCGCAAGGCGCCGAAGGAUGAGCCCGCGUCGGAUUAGCUAGUUGGUAGGGUAACGGCCUACCAAGGCGAUGAUCCGUAGCUGGUCUGAGAGGAUGAUCAGCCACACUGGGACUGAGACACGGCCCAGACUCCUACGGGAGGCAGCAGUGGGGAAUAUUGGACAAUGGGGGAAACCCUGAUCCAGCCAUGCCGCGUGAGUGAUGAAGGCCUUCGGGUUGUAAAGCUCUUUCGACGGGGACGAUGAUGACGGUACCCGUAGAAGAAGCCCCGGCUAACUUCGUGCCAGCAGCCGCGGUAAUACGAAGGGGGCUAGCGUUGUCCGGAAUUACUGGGCGUAAAGCGCGCGUAGGCGGUUACGCAAGUCGGGCGUGAAAGCCCAGGGCUCAACCCUGGAACUGCGUCCGAGA
RNAcentral lists this ribosomal RNA (509 nucleotides) under uncultured Alphaproteobacteria bacterium. RNAcentral's name for it is "bacterial SSU rRNA". It matches the Rfam family "Bacterial small subunit ribosomal RNA", at positions 90 to 632 of the family's 1533-position model. Lineage: Bacteria; Pseudomonadati; Pseudomonadota; Alphaproteobacteria. The record is from RNAcentral.